Molecule: ribosomal RNA, 396 nt
Filed under: uncultured bacterium
Lineage: Bacteria
Description: partial 16S ribosomal RNA
Rfam family: Bacterial small subunit ribosomal RNA
Source: RNAcentral
AUACGAAGGGUGCAAGCGUUAAUCGGAAUUACUGGGCGUAAAGUGCGCGUAGGUGGUUCAGCAAGUUGGAUGUGAAAGCCCCGGGCUCAACCUGGGAACUGCAUCCAAAACUACUGAGCUAGGGUACGGUAGAGGGUGGUGGAAUUUCCUGUGUAGCGGUGAAAUGCGUAGAUAUAGGAAGGAACACCAGUGGCGAAGGCGACCCCCUGGACUGGUUCUGGCCCCGAGGUGCGAAAGGCGGGGGAGCAAACAGGAUUAGAUACCCUGGUAGUCCACGCCGUAAACGAUGUCAACUAGCUGUUGGGUUCCUUGAGAACUUAGUAGCGAAGCUAACGCGAUAAGUUGACCGCCUGGGGAGUACGGCCGCAAGGUUAAAACUCAAAUGAAUUGACGGGG